AGCUCAUCACAUUGCUCUGGGCCAGUGGACAACUAAAUUUGGCAAAGACAUUGAGGUGCAUCUCUCCAACAACUUAUGUACCUGGAUGCACAUGUCUAUAUUUCUGAUUUGACCCAAAAACUUUUAUAUUGCUUAUUUAACACUUUGCCCAAUUGUUGCAGGGUUUCCCUCAUCAAACUACUGUAAAUUAUUGUGGCAUCUUAUUGUUGAUGGUAAAUUGCUUUUUAGUCUCUGAUUAAAGGUUUUUGGUUUUUUUUUAUUAUCUGAAAAUGAUAUAACCUCACAGAUCUUUGCCUUUUACACUUUACAGUAUGCACUCAGCCUGAGCACAGAGGCUCCAUUUUGGUUCAUUAUUGUUCUUCUCACAUAGGAGCAAGUAUAAGAGGAACUUAAAUCCACCCUAACAUAACAUUGACUUUGGUUAAUUGUUUACAAUUUCCAGAAGUCUAACUAAGCAUGAUCUAUAAAGUACUUUGCACUACAGUAUUAACCACACAUCAAAGAACUGUUUGUGGGACUAUUUAACAUGGCUCUAUAACUUUUUGUACUCUGCUGUAAUUGACAUGCCAAUGGUUUGCAGACAAAUAGUGAUUUGUGACUGAACAUGAACAUUCCUCCUCAACUUAAAUAUUCUAUUUCUUUUAGAGGGACAUGGCACGCAUCCGAAAAUGGUGGUGCAUUAGUCUAAUGGAACGGUUCCAGAUUGACGGCCAUGGACAGAGGUUUGCAUACUGGACUAAUGAGGCCAGAGCAUUGCUCCAAGGUUCACUGCAGCCGAUAUACAGGGUCCCAAAGGUCAGCAAGAGGGAACAUGAGGUUUCGAUUAGAAAAGGAUGACAGGUGCAUCAUAUUGGAGUUACCAACAUGUGUGCUUUCUGUAAUCCUAAAUGAAGUGGUACUACAGGAAGGAGAUAAGGCAUACUUAAGAUUGGCUCUUGUGUGUCCACUGACUCCUUCAGGAGACGGGCACAUUUUCAGUGGCUUGACAGUAAGUGUUUAAAUAAAGGGUGCUGUGGUAUACAAUACUUGAGUACCUCACGUGUGUUUUCACUAACCUUAUGGAAAUGUUCACUUUUGAUUGAUAAUUUGUUUUUCACAGGUGUCGCUACAUGGAGCAGUCCUAAAGAAAAUAAUUCUACACCAUGUACUCCGUGGACACCUGUCGUGAAUGUGGAAUGCUUUUCAAAAACUGCACACCUGGAUAUGUUAGAACAGGACAAAGGUGUGUACUUGAAGCAGUUUACUCAGAAGACCCACAUCCAGGUUACUGCGAUCACUUUUGCCGCCAAAUGCAAUAGUGAGAACGGACACGUAUACUAACUGUUGGCAGACAACCCUGAGCCAGCUGGGUGUUUUUCAAGCUGCAGGCCCCCGUGAAAAUUUGUGGCUGGAAACUUGGGAUUGAAUUUUGAAUUCUCCAGUGUUUUUACAGACUGUUAAUUAAUUGGUUAUGACAAAAAAGAGAUGUCAUAUGUUUAAACAACCUUUGGGUGAACUUUUUGUAUAAUUUUAAAAAUGUUAAAACUAACAUCUAUUGAGAGUCUACUUUAUGCUUUUUUGGUUUUAAUAACAUCCUGUUCAAUGUGGAAUAAAAUUCAAAUCCUCUGAA
Esox lucius (northern pike) is the source of this 1609-nucleotide long non-coding RNA. RefSeq lists it as uncharacterized. The record is from RefSeq and is a predicted model, not a curated record. The transcript has 6 exons. Lineage: Eukaryota; Metazoa; Chordata; Actinopteri; Esociformes; Esocidae.